AUUGAACGCUGGCGGCAUGCUUUACACAUGCAAGUCGAACGGUAACAGGCCUUCGGGUGCUGACGAGUGGCGCACGGGUGAGUAAUGCAUCGGAACGUACCCAGAGGUGGGGGAUAACGCAGCGAAAGCUGUGCUAAUACCGCAUGCGAUCUGAGGAUGAAAGCGGGGGACCGAGCAGCAAUGUUUGGCCUCGCGCCUUUGGAGCGGCCGAUGUCGGAUUAGCUAGUUGGUGGGGUAAAGGCCUACCAAGGCGACGAUCCGUAGCUGGUCUGAGAGGACGACCAGCCACACUGGGACUGAGACACGGCCCAGACUCCUACGGGAGGCAGCAGUGGGGAAUUUUGGACAAUGGGCGCAAGCCUGAUCCAGCAAUGCCGCGUGCGGGAAGAAGGCCUUCGGGUUGUAAACCGCUUUUGGCAGGAACGAAACGGUGUCCGCUAAUACCGGGCGCUAAUGACGGUACCUGCAGAAUAAGCACCGGCUAACUACGUG
RNAcentral lists this ribosomal RNA (492 nucleotides) under uncultured bacterium. Its description in RNAcentral is "partial 16S ribosomal RNA". It matches the Rfam family "Bacterial small subunit ribosomal RNA", at positions 29 to 507 of the family's 1533-position model. The record is from RNAcentral.